CACUUGGAAAUUUCUGCAUUUCAAGAAAAGGAAGAAAAUUCCCUCCAGUAUGGAACUGCUUAGAUUUCACUGGCAGUCUUUCAGUGUUUCUGUCAGUGCUUUGUCUCCUGAGAAGGAUCUGAACCCUGACCCCAGCAGCGCUUUGAAGUCUUCCCUGGCAGACAAAGAUGAAGCUUGAGGUGAGAGAAAGAGCAGGACAUCAAGGCUGUUAUAGCCUGUCAAAGUCAGAGUGCAGAACCACCCCACUGGCAUCCGCAGGUACAGAACACACACCGCCAGCUCCCCAAAACUCAGCAGGCAGCUUCAUUGGCCAAGACCUAAUC
This is a long non-coding RNA of Passer domesticus (house sparrow), 323 nucleotides long. RefSeq lists it as uncharacterized. The record is from RefSeq and is a predicted model, not a curated record. NCBI's taxonomy places the organism in Eukaryota, Metazoa, Chordata, Aves, Passeriformes, Passeridae. The transcript is spliced from 3 exons.